AGAGUUUGAUUCUGGCUCAGAUUGAACGCUGGCGGCAGGCCUAACACAUGCAAGUCGAGCGGCAGCGGGAAAGUAGCUUGCUACUUUUGCCGGCGAGCGGCGGACGGGUGAGUAAUGCCUGGGAAAUUGCCCAGUCGAGGGGGAUAACAGUUGGAAACGACUGCUAAUACCGCAUACGCCCUACGGGGGAAAGCAGGGGACCUUCGGGCCUUGCGCGAUUGGAUAUGCCCAGGUGGGAUUAGCUAGUUGGUGAGGUAAUGGCUCACCACGGCGACGGAUCCCUAGCUGGUCUGAGAGGAUGAUCAGCCCACACUGGAACUGAGACACGGUCCAGACUCCUUCGGGAGGCAGCAGUGGGGAAUAUUGCACAAUGGGGGAAACCCUGAUGCAGCCAUGCCGCGUGUGUGAAGAAGGCCUUCGGGUUGUAAAGCACUUUCAGCGAGGAGGAAAGGUCAGUAGCUAAUAUCUGCUGACUGUGACGUUACUCGCAGAAGAAGCACCGGCUAACUCCGUGCCAGCAGCCGCGGUAAUACGGAGGGUGCAAGCGUUAAUCGGAAUUACUGGGCGUAAAGCGCACGCAGGCGGUUGGAUAAGUUAGAUGUGAAAGCCCCGGGCUCAACCUGGGAAUUGCAUUUAAAACUGUCCAGCUAGAGUCUUGUAGAGGGGGGUAGAAUUCCAGGUGUAGCGGUGAAAUGCGUAGAGAUCUGGAGGAAUACCGGUGGCGAAGGCGGCCCCCUGGACAAAGACUGACGCUCACGUGCGAAAGCGUGGGGAGCAAAAAGGAUUAGAUGCCCUGGUAGUCCACGCCGUAAACGC
RNAcentral lists this ribosomal RNA (816 nucleotides) under uncultured bacterium. RNAcentral describes it as "bacterial SSU rRNA". It matches the Rfam family "Bacterial small subunit ribosomal RNA", at positions 8 to 809 of the family's 1533-position model. The record is from RNAcentral.